GAUGAACGCUGGCGGCGUGCCUAAUACAUGCAAGUCGAGCGAACAGACGAGGAGCUUGCUCCUCUGACGUUAGCGGCGGACGGGUGAGUAACACGUGGAUCACCUACCUCUAAGACUGGGAUAACUUCGGGAAACCGGAGCUAAUACCGGAUAAUAUAUUGAACCGCAUGGUUCAAUCGUUAAAGACGGUUUUGCUGUCACUUAUAGAUGGAUCCGCGCCGCAUUAGCUAGUUGGUAAGGUAACGGCUUACCAAGGCAACGAUGCGUAGCCGACCUGAGAGGGUGAUCGGCCACACUGGAACUGAGACACGGUCCAGACUCCUACGGGAGGCAGCAGUAGGGAAUCUUCCGCAAUGGGCGAAAGCCUGACGGAGCAACGCCGCGUGAGUGAUGAAGGUCUUCGGAUCGUAAAACUCUGUUAUUAGGGAAGAACAAAUGUGUAAGUAACUAUGCACGUCUUGACGGUACCUAAUCAGAAAGCCACGGCUAACUACGUG
This 497-nucleotide ribosomal RNA is filed under the name uncultured bacterium. Its description in RNAcentral is "partial 16S ribosomal RNA". It matches the Rfam family "Bacterial small subunit ribosomal RNA", at positions 28 to 507 of the family's 1533-position model. The record is from RNAcentral.